CCUCUUCGGCCUGCUGCGGUGCCAGGUAGUGGAUGUGCGUAUCGAUGCCACCGGCCGUCAGCAGUCGAUGCUCACCGGCAAUAACCUCGGUACCAGCACCAAUGACCAGGUCGGGGUGAACUCCGUCCUGCGUAUGCGGGUUGCCCGACUUACCAAUUGCGACAAUCUUGCCAUCUCGCAGACCCACGUCUGCCUUGACGACGCCCAGGAGAGCAUCAACAAUAAUCGCGCUCGUAAUAACCGUAUCGGGCGUGCCUUGUGCGCGAGUUGCCUGCGGAUCUUGGGCCAUGCCGUCACGGAUGG
This 303-nucleotide small RNA is filed under the name Corynebacterium sp. ATCC 6931. RNAcentral describes it as "5' ureB small RNA". It matches the Rfam family "5' ureB small RNA". The record is from Rfam by way of RNAcentral. Lineage: Bacteria; Bacillati; Actinomycetota; Actinomycetes; Mycobacteriales; Corynebacteriaceae.